GCUGUGUCCUCACUCCGGUACUAUUCAACCUAUUUUCACCCAAGUAUACGACAUGCUGUGUUGGAUCUAGACCUGGGCAUCUACAUCAAAUACCAACUGGAUGGCUCACUAUUUGACCUUCGCCGCCUGACUGCAAAAACAAAGACAACAGAGAGACUCAUCCUGGAAGCUCUCUUUGCAGAUGACUGUGCUCUCAUGACCCACCAAGAAAAUCAUCUCCAAACCGUUGUGGACAGGUUCUCUACUGCAACAAAACUGUUUGGCCUGACUAUCAGCCUCAGCAAAACAGAGGUGCUGUUCCAACCUGCACCAGGGAGGCCAACGAACCAGCCGUGCAUUACAAUCGACGGCACGCAGCUUUCUAAAAUCAACACUUUCAAGUACCUGGGCAGCACCAUCGCCAACGACGGGUCCCUAGACCACGAGAUCAAUGCCAGGAUCCAAAAGGCCAGCCAGGCACUCGGGCGGCUGCGCUGCAAAGUCCUCCAACACAGCGGUGUAAGCACUGCGACGAAGCUCAAAGUGUAUAAUGCAGUGGUCCUCAGCUCGCUCCUGUAUGGUUGUGAGACAUGGACACUGUACUGGAAGCACAUGAAACAGCUGGAGCAAUUCCACCAACGCUCCCUCCGGUCAAUCAUGAGGAUCCAAUGGCAGGACCGAAUCACCAAUCAGGAAGUCCUCGACAGAGCCAACUCCACCAGCAUCGAAGUCCUGGUCCUCAAAACCCAGCUACGAUGGUCUGGACACGUCAUCCACAUGGACCCACAGCGAAUACCAAGACAGGUAUUCUAUGGUGAAUUGUCAGCUGGACUCACGAAACAAGGCCGACCAAAGAAAAGAUUCAAGGAUCAGCUAAAGUCCAACUUGAAGUGGGCUGGCAUUACACCAAAGCAACUAGAACUCGCUGCCUCUGACAGAAGCAGCUGGCGAACCCACAUUCACCUGGCCGCCGCCACCUUUGAAGAUGAACGACGUCGACGUCUUGCCGCUGCGCCGACACCAGGCCACAACCGCACCUCCCGUAACAACUGGCGUCCCAUGCCCCACGUGCCACAAACUGUGCGCCUCAGCCUUUGGACUUCAAAGCCACAUGAGGGUACACCGUAGAUGAAACUGCACAAAGACAAUUGUCAUUCUCGGACACCGAGAGAGAUAAUAAGGA
Molecule: long non-coding RNA, 1162 nt
Filed under: Monodelphis domestica (gray short-tailed opossum)
Lineage: Eukaryota; Metazoa; Chordata; Mammalia; Didelphimorphia; Didelphidae
Description: lncRNA (ENSMODG00000036682.1)
Source: RNAcentral